This 740-nucleotide long non-coding RNA is filed under the name Carica papaya (papaya). RNAcentral describes it as "long non-coding RNA (CPAP_LNC003614)". The record is from RNAcentral. Lineage: Eukaryota; Viridiplantae; Streptophyta; Magnoliopsida; Brassicales; Caricaceae.
GGCUGUUGUUGUUGGGUACGAACUCAGGCAAUACUUUGGUGUUUGGUCGAGAUGAUGUCUUCAGCAAAUUGGGUAUGUUCUAGAACCUCCGCAUACGAGCUGGGUCUUAGCAUCACAACCCAAUCAUACAUGUUGGUACGAAGGCCUUUUAGAAACUUCCUAACUUUUUGACAUUUAGAGGUGACCAUUGGAGGGGUAAACCUAGACAGUUGGACAAAAUGGGCUACUUACUUGGCAACCAUUAGAUUUUUUUGGCGGAGAUCCUAAAAUUUUUCCUCCUUUUCUUGGACAUAAAUAAGAAAAAAGUUAUUAAAGAAUGCAUCCAUAAAAACUUCUCAAGUGGUAGGGGUAGGUAGGACUUCCUUCUUAAGUCGCCACUAGUGUUUUACUUCAUCGUUCAGCAUAAAAGCUGCUAGGAAAACUUUUUGUUCCUCAGUCAAGUCCAGGACAAUGAAAAGUUUCUCUAUCUGUAGGAUCGAGGCUUUGGCUACUAAGGGGUCAGGGCCACCUUUGAAAUGUGGCGGGUUAAGCUUCCUAAAUUCUACUAUAUUGUGGGAAAUAGUCCUUUUGGUUGUUAGUAUUAUGGGGAAGGACGUGGAUAAGAGUUGGCUUGAUUUUGUCCAACGGUUGUAGUCUAUCCUUGGAUGACUCAGAAGAGUUCGAUAAAUUUAACCCUGCUCGGGUGAUUCAGGGCUUCAGAUCGCUAGGUACGCUCUACAAAUGGUCUUCCUCACAUAAUU